AUGAAAGGACUUGAAUUACUCUAUAUGUACAUAUACACAUACCCAUCACUUUUCUGCAAAAUAUGUAUCCUGUCAGUAAGACUUAUUGUGACACUGUCAUAUGAAUCAAUUCAACUGCUGCUAUCUGCAACUUGCACAUCAGUAUUCACAUUUCACCCUAAAAAAAACCACACUUGCACAAGAGGCGACACACUUUCUAAACAGGGAAAAAUAAGUCAAGAAAUGAAUUCCUUGAUUAAUUUGUUUAUUGAUAUAAUAAGAUACAAUUUGACAGAAGCUCCAAAUCAAAUUUAUCCAACAAACAAGAGUACUAGUAGUUAA
Non-coding RNA from Vicia faba (fava bean), 321 nucleotides. NCBI's taxonomy places the organism in Eukaryota, Viridiplantae, Streptophyta, Magnoliopsida, Fabales, Fabaceae. The record is from the annotation of a GenBank genome assembly.